Molecule: small RNA, 670 nt
Filed under: Pongo abelii (Sumatran orangutan)
Lineage: Eukaryota; Metazoa; Chordata; Mammalia; Primates; Hominidae
Description: retained intron
Source: RNAcentral
CCAAAAUGCCAAGAAUCCAACAGUAUUCAUUUAGGAGUCAUGUUACCAACUACAAUACUUCAAAAACCUCUAUUUCAAACAGCAUCCAAGCACUUUCCUUGUCAAAGCUACAGGAUAUAAUGCAAAACAAAAACAAAAAAACUUCUGUAUUUAUCCUUUAAAAAAUUCAUCUUAUUGCCCAUUUUUCUUAUUUUUAUUGCCCAUUUUAAUAAAAUAUCAUGCUUUAUUUUGUAGCACUGUAACAAAAUUAUUGGAACCUACUUUGAGAAAUGUGGAAAGGUUGCUGCUCUAUCCAAUGACUACAAAAUGAUCUGCAUUGAUGAAUACUGCCAAACUAGAGACAAAACAUCUACAUGUGACACUUAUUCAGAACUGUCCCGCCUCUGUGCCUCAGAUGGUCCUGGCACCUUUGAAUCCUGGCGAAGCGAUUCCGAUGUGGUUUGUGAAACACACAGAUGUCCAGAACAACAUAUCUACAAAGAAUGUGGACCCUCCAACCCUGCAACUUGUUCUAAUGUGGCUCCUUUUCAAGACAGUGAAUGUAUGAGCGGCUGCACCUGCCCAGAAGGUUAUCUGUUGGAUGAUAUUGGAGAGAAAGGAAAAUGUGUAUUAAAAGCUGAAUGUCCCUGUGAAUCCAGUGGAAAAGUGUACCAGCCAGGAGAAGUCCGAG